UUUUGACACUACAUGUUGCUGACAUUGAACCUGUGAAAGAACCUCAAGCCAGGAGGAGUGAGGGCGUGUUCUUCCUGUCUUCCUCCCUGCUGCAGCUGCAUCUAACAUCCCAGCACAGCCUUGGCUCUUGGCAAUAAGGUGCACCUGGCAUUACUUCUAUUACGCUUUGACGGUGCAUGCGUAAUCCGUUGUAUAUGGGUUCAGAAAAAGAGCCAAACAAUUUAGCAUAAAUAAAUAAAAGAAUAGACCUGCUUUAUGCUACUAAAGCCACCUCUGUUCCCGUCUAAAUGACCGGGAAAGAGUGUGACAGCUUGUAAUAGUACAUUCCCUGUAUAAAGGAGUAGUUGGAUGGUAAUUGUAGGGGUGGUAGCAGUUGUGGUGUGAGUGUAUUCACUGUACAUUUUUUAUAGUAACAGUAAUGGUGGUGGUGGUGGUGGUGGUGGUAGUAGUAGUAGUAUGCUAGUAGUAGUAGAGGUACUGUAGUUGUAGUAAUGGUGGGGGUACCACUACUAGUACAUUGAUGGAAUUAAGGAGUAAUUGAGUAGUACAGUAGUAGCAAUAAUAGUAUAUUGACUGUAUAUAAAAUUAGCAGCAGUACAUAUUGUCAUCAAAUCUUAAACAAAAUAAUUCGAUUUUUACUGGGCAGCCCAUAUACAAUCGAUCAUUUAAACAUUUUUAAAAGGUGCUUCCAUGUGUGUUUGUCAACUUUCUGUAUAACAUUUCACUUUAACCAAACACUAAGUUUUUGCAAGCAUUUCUGUUUGUGUGGAAAUGGGCUUUUCUGCAUCUGGUAUCUAUUUACGGGACAAAUAAGUGGCCCAAAUCAUAUGCAUUUUCCCCAAAGUUUCUCCAGUUGCAUGCAAUCUUUUUCAGAUUAUUGAAAACGCACAGUACAGACUGUACUAUUUGUUAAAAUUGUCUAGUCUUAUUUAGUACAUUAUUUUAAAUGGUGAGGCAAGUGGAGGAAACUUGAAUCAUGAGGUUUAUGAAUGGGGAACUGGGUGUGGCUAUAUUUAACCUGAUUAAUCGCCCAGACUGCUUUCGAACAAAGAGAACUGACAGACUGGUAUCUGGUUACAGUCAACAAUACAACUUGAACAGACUUUUUUCAUUUAUUUUUGCCCAACCAAACCCUAUAAUUCUAAUUCAAACACAGUCCCUGAUUCAGCCCUUAUAGUGUUGUAAUGUUUUGACUUUUGUGUUGCUAUCAUUCAUUCCAAAGAUUUUCUCAUCUGACGAGUUUAUUCCCUUCAUCAUAUACGAAACGGACAUAAAGCAUUCAUGAAAACAUACAUGCAUACUGUACUCCUCAUUGAAAUUGCUUAGUAGGGAACUACUGAAGAACCAUAGACAUCACCAUGUGAAAAAACCGUAUGGGAAAGUGCACCACAAUAGCACUUUAAUUCUUCAAAUUAAGCAAAGUUAUUUUUGUGUGUUUUGUUCCUGCUGACUUGGCGCUGGUCUAUGGAAAGACUGGUUUAUCAUAAAGCUUCACUGAGCCAUGCAGAGGGCAAAAUGAAUCCAGCUUUCCUGGAUGGCUGAAGCCCUGCAUACUUGCCAUUCCUCUGAGGUAUACAUUGACGUGUUAGUUAACAAAUCAAGAUCUUUGGACCCCAUGGCAUUCCCUAAAUGCAGCGCAUGUUAAAAAAGGAAAUCACCCAAGCUGACAUUAACCUUUUUACAAAUAUUUUAUAGGUUGUGUAUAUAAUGUAUAGUAACUGCAGAUUUUAUUUCACCUGAACAUUCUCCCAUACAGAGUACAUGUUUUCCCUCCUCACGAUGUUAAAUAAAAUUAUGAUUAUUAAAAUGUGACUUUAAGUGACAGGGCCAUCCCUUUACACUAAGAUGUAUCAGCCAUUAUUCUCCUUUUGAACAAGGGAAUGGAAGUGUGUACAACAGGGAGGGAUUUGAAUUAAAAAUGUUUUUUUAAAGUCAAAGUAAAGACUGUUUUCUUUUAUGUGAGGGUAUGCUUGGUAAGUAUUGGUUUUAUUAUUGAUAAAUGGCUAUAACCUGUACAAAUAGUCCCCAUAUUUCACAGCACCAAAAUAUAUAUAAUAUAUAACAUGUGUCCAAAUCCAGCACUUAUAUUUAUUUCAUUUUGGACCUGAAAUACUGUGGUUGCUGUUUCCUGGUAGUUUAGCUGACAAUAUAUUUCUGUACAUUUCCGAAUUCAUUCUGUUGGGGCUGUCAUCAGUUACAUCAUCAAUAAAUACAAGUUGGUCAGUUCCAGUGGCAGCCAUACAUGCCCAAGCUAGAACACUACCUCUACCAUAUUUAUAGAUAUGAAAUUAAUUUUAAAAACUAUGAUUGAGGCCCAGGUGCAACUGCACAUCCUGCACCACUGUUACCCCACUGGAUUAGAGGUUAUGCAAGGAAUAUUGGUUCUCCAGACUUUUCUCUUGCCAUCACUUGGGUACAUGAGGAAACAACAGCAUAUUUGGCAGGUGGUCAUAAUGUUUUGGCUUGUCAGUGUAUAUGUACUGUGUAUGUGUCUUGCAUAUGGAUUCUGAUCCCUGACAAAUUCUAUUAUGAAUUACGAAGUGUACAUAUCCAGCCCCUGCCCAUGGAAGCUCCCAUUGACACAAAUGAAAGGAAUUAUCCUAAAAGGACAUGUUUAGACCAUUGGCAUUAAAAGUGCUGACUUUUUUUUGUUGAUAAAACCUUACUGCUGAAGAAUCAUUGGUCAGGCUGUGAAUCUGAAUUAAAAUCACGACAGCAAAAUGUUAGAGUAAUACAAAUGUAUAGUUUAAGAAAAGGGUACAAACUGUCCAAGUAUUUGAAAGUCCCAGUGAGCAAAGUUAGAACAAUAAUUGGGAAGUGUUAGCUGCAUCACAUCACCCAGGCACUGCCAAUCGAAGACCAUCUCUCAAUACUCAGAGCUCAAACAAUAAGGAGGCUUGUGAGAGAAGCCAAGAAGUAAUGGUCCAACUAAUAAACAUAGUCAGUUCUUACCGGAAACCCAAGUGGUCAUUGGUCAGCGAUGUAUCAGCUGUUGCCAAGGAUUGCUCCAGUCACAAAAUGUCAUGUUUUCCUAUUGACUGUCUAAUCAUCAGGUUACUUGCUCAGUCUGAUGAAGCUGCUUGGUUCUCCGUUUCCUUUUCAUGGGGGGGAUAUACACGAUCAUGUGAUGGCAGUGAGUUACCCCAGAGGAGAAGAACCUAACGCCA
Molecule: long non-coding RNA, 3167 nt
Organism: Esox lucius (northern pike)
Lineage: Eukaryota; Metazoa; Chordata; Actinopteri; Esociformes; Esocidae
Source: Ensembl